GUUUUUGGGCUGCGGGGUGGGCUCUCGUUGUAAGCCUGUAGUUGACCCGUCUCGCUGCGUUGGUUCAUUGCUAGGUACCAUGUCGCUUGUCUGUUCGUUCGCGUGCAGGUGCCAUCCUUUCUUUUGCCGCUGGGGUUGCCUCCUCUUCUUUUCUCUUUCUGCCUGUCCUGGGCGAGGUGGGUGGCGGUGCUGAUUCUUUCGGAGGCGUGGCGGCGCUGCUUCUUUCUAGAGCAUGGCAGCGUGCGUCUUUGUGGUCAACGAGGUGUGGUUUUCGGCUGUGGCUUUGGUGGCUUUGUCGGGGUCUUUGGUGCUUGCUUCUUCGUCGGAGUCGGGUCCGGAUCUGUUGUUGGCAUUUUCUUCUUCCUCUACAUCAGAUCUUCUUUCUCUGGCGGCGCUUGUGGGAGAGAAGGAGAGGGGCAGCAGACAUUCCUGCCGUGUUUCGUUGUCGGUGUGGCCGCGGGGGAGGGUUGCCCUGUCGUUUCGUCAGCUGAUAGGAGCGUGUUGCCAUGCCUCUGGAUGGCCGCAUGCCGGAUCCACGCCGGCCGUAUCGGCUUCUUCUGCUCCACAGCAGACAAGGUAAUAUGAAAUGAAGAAGAAUAUGGCCACAUAGUGCAAAUGAUGCGUAUGUGAAGAUAUGAAGAAAUCUAUCUGAAGGAUUAUGUUGUUCAAGUGAAAUGAGAGAAAUACUAUGGAGAUGCGGUCGGGGAGCUUCUACUUUGUCUCAUCUCAAUGAUGUCCUGCUUUUUUGUUUCACCUUUAUUCUAUUAAUUUCCUACAAUUUGACGCAUCCGAUAUUAAACAUGUGCAUGUAAGAUUCUAUCCAUUGUUCUACACCUGUGCACCUGGGACAUGUUUCUUGCAGUAAAACUUUAGCUUACUUGCCAUGUGUUGUACCAUUGAAGACUGCCACUAUUUUACUCGGUUAUGCUUUCAGAUAGCAGUAUGGCUUUCUAUUUACCACAUUUUUUCA
Non-coding RNA from Triticum urartu, 970 nucleotides. NCBI's taxonomy places the organism in Eukaryota, Viridiplantae, Streptophyta, Magnoliopsida, Poales, Poaceae. The record is from RefSeq and is a predicted model, not a curated record.